Dreissena polymorpha is the source of this 1043-nucleotide long non-coding RNA. RefSeq lists it as uncharacterized. NCBI's taxonomy places the organism in Eukaryota, Metazoa, Mollusca, Bivalvia, Myida, Dreissenidae. The transcript has 3 exons. The record is from RefSeq and is a predicted model, not a curated record.
GUUGUCCUUGCAAAUUGCUACCUUAAACAGUAACCGUAAGAGCGGCAUACCCACUAUCCACGGAACGUAUAACAUAAGAAUCCUUGAAAAUUAUAAGGAUGCUGGCGCAAAAUAUGUCUUCACAUUGUAUCGUUCAAAAGAGUGCCUUCACAUAAAUGUGUUAAAUUGCAUAUGCUUUCAACGAGAUGCAUUGACCGCAUUUAUUCUAUGAAAGGGCCACAACUUGCUGAACUUUAAAAGCGGCGUUCAGUCGUCUCUGGUGAACACCGGGCAGCAAUGGGACUUUCCCAACGCGUGGCCUCCGUUAUAGACGCCGUCAUAACCGCACUAGAACGUAUCAACGACAAAAGCCGGGAAGCUGAGUUGAAUCUGGCUGACCAAUGGUUGAAGAGCAACUACGUCGGCUGGCAGCGAAAGAAAAAAAAGAAAAAUACGUUGUGACAGACUACGGAAUCGCGUGGAAGCGGUGGUGAAUACGACGUCCAGGUAUAUCCAGGCAUCCUGUUUGCUUCAUUCUAAGUUGUGAAAUACAGAAAGCUGUCAAUGAGGAAGGGUUCGGCUGGACGAACGGGGUGGUACUUGACCUGCUCACGCGCUACGGAAAACAGCUGACCUACCACGCUGACCACGUAGCGAACUCGGCCAUAUGGAUAGUGACGUCAUCAAUCGCCUUUGCACUGUGUGGGAUAAAUUCACGCGAUAAUAUAGAUAAUGCUAUGUUAGUGUACUUGGUUCUUGAAUUUAUCCGACUAGUUACACAAAGGUUUACACGGUAUAGCAGUCCGCUAUGUACAUGAAGUAGCAGUGUAAAGUCGUGUCGUCAUGUAAAGCAAAGGUUUACAUGACACCCAGAGUUUCCUUCUAUAAAAUCACUUAGUCGUAUCAUGAUUGGCAUAGGGGUUCUCAAUAUGUAAGUUAAACAUAGCCGCCAUCAAUGUUUUUGGUAUGUUGCUAUAUUUAAAAAAUUAUUGAAGUUUGAACAAAUCUUUCUGUGGUCUAGUUGAAAGUGUAUAAUUUAGAAUGCUUAAUAAAUUUGAAUCGAG